UACGUAGGGGGCAAGCGUUGUCCGGAAUCAUUGGGCGUAAAGAGCGCGUAGGCGGCCCAGUAAGUCCGCUCUGAAAGUCAGAGGCUCAACCUCUGAAUGCGGGUGGAUACUGCUGGGCUAGAGUCCGGAAGAGGCGAGUGGAAUUCCUGGUGUAGCGGUGAAAUGCGCAGAUAUCAGGAGGAACACCGGUGGCGAAGGCGGUGCUCUGGGCCAGUACUGACGCUGAGGAGCGAAAGCGUGGGGAGCAAACAGG
RNAcentral lists this ribosomal RNA (253 nucleotides) under uncultured bacterium. Its description in RNAcentral is "partial 16S ribosomal RNA". It matches the Rfam family "Bacterial small subunit ribosomal RNA", at positions 524 to 776 of the family's 1533-position model. The record is from RNAcentral.